CCUUGUACACACUGCCCGUCACACCACGAGAGCUGUUUGUACCCAAAGUUACCUUAGCCAACCUGUAAAGGGGGCGGGUACCUAAGGUAUGGGGAGUGAUUGGGGUG
RNAcentral lists this ribosomal RNA (107 nucleotides) under uncultured bacterium. RNAcentral describes it as "partial 16S ribosomal RNA". It matches the Rfam family "Bacterial small subunit ribosomal RNA", at positions 1379 to 1482 of the family's 1533-position model. The record is from RNAcentral.